GUCUCAACAAUAACCAGAGAAUGUCCUGAGAACACAGCAUCCUGAGAUAAGGAGAGACAGGCUGGACAAUCUGAGCUCUGUUCUAGUCGACCUCCCCAGAAACAGGAUGCCCUCUGCUAUGGUUUCAACAUGUCUCCCAAAGUUCCUGUGCUGGAAACUUGGCCUUCAAGGCAACAGUGUUGAGAGGUGCAUCCUUUAAGAGAUGGUAUUAAUGGAUUAAUCCUGUUAUCAUGGGCAGGUGAGUUAUGGUAGGAGUGGCUCUUGGAAAGAGGAUGAGUGUAUCUGACUUCUCUUCUCUCUCCCCAUAUGAAGAAUAGGAAGAAGACCCUUAUCAUGUGCCAUCUUCUAGCUUCUAGAAAUCCCAGUCUUCAAAACUGUGAGAAAUAAAUUUCUUUAUACAGUGUCAAGACUGGAUUCUGUUAUAGCAACAAGACAUGGACUUGGACACUGCAGUGAUUCAGCCCAGUGUUUCUGGUGUUUGGCUUGUUCAACACAACCCAGGGCUGCUUUCAGGAUCCCUCAGCUGCUGUGCUACUGAGGCACACACAGUUGAGACUACUUGUCCAGGGCAGUUUUCCUGAGCAUUGGGGAACAGGCUGGCAUGAAUCCAGAGUAUCUGUUGUCUCUUAACUGUAAAUAUUAAAUAUGCUUCAUGUAAAACAUGCA
This 666-nucleotide long non-coding RNA is filed under the name Marmota monax (woodchuck). The record is from RNAcentral. Lineage: Eukaryota; Metazoa; Chordata; Mammalia; Rodentia; Sciuridae.